This 306-nucleotide ribosomal RNA is filed under the name uncultured bacterium. Its description in RNAcentral is "bacterial SSU rRNA". It matches the Rfam family "Bacterial small subunit ribosomal RNA", at positions 28 to 319 of the family's 1533-position model. The record is from RNAcentral.
GAUGAACGCUGGCGGCGUGCCUAAUACAUGCAAGUCGAGCGGUAAGGCUUUCACUCUGUAUUUAAUGAGCUGAAUAUAGUGUGAAAGUACACGAGCGGCGGACGGCUGAGUAACGCGUAGGAACGUACCCCAAAGUGAGGGAUAAGCACCGGAAAACGGUGUCUAAUACCGCAUGUGAUCUUCGGAUUAAAGCUUUAUGCGCUUUGGGAGCGGCCUGCGUAAAGAUUAGUUUUGUUGGUGAGGUAAUGGCUCACCAAGACUACGAUCUUUAGUCUGGUCUGAGAGGAUGAUCAGCCAGACUGGGAC